Molecule: non-coding RNA, 106 nt
Organism: Erinaceus europaeus (western European hedgehog)
Lineage: Eukaryota; Metazoa; Chordata; Mammalia; Eulipotyphla; Erinaceidae
Source: Rfam
GUGCUCACUUUGGCAGCACAUAUAAUAAAAUUGUAUUGAUAACAGGAGAUUAACAUGGUCCAUUUGCAAGAGUGAUAUGAGAAAAAAACAAAAAAGUAUUAUUUUU